UGGGGAAUCUUGGACAAUGGGCGCAAGCCUGAUCCAGCCAUGCCGCGUGAGUGAAGAAGGCCUUAGGGUUGUAAAACUCUUUCGCCGGAGAAGAUAAUGACGGUAUCCGGAGAAGAAGCCCCGGCUAACUUCGUGCCAGCAGCCGCGGUAAUACGAAGGGGGCUAGCGUUGUUCGGAAUUACUGGGCGUAAAGCGCACGUAGGCGGGUUUGUAAGUAGGGGGUGAAAUCCCAGGGCUCAACCCUGGAACUGCCUUCUAGACUGCAAGCCUGGAGGUCAGGAGAGGCGAGUGGAAUACCGAGUGUAGAGGUGAAAUUCGUAGAUAUUCGGUGGAACACCAGUGGCGAAGGCGACUCGCUGGACUGAUACUGACGCUGAGGUGCGAAAGCGUGGGGAGCAAACAGG
RNAcentral lists this ribosomal RNA (404 nucleotides) under uncultured bacterium. Its description in RNAcentral is "bacterial SSU rRNA". It matches the Rfam family "Bacterial small subunit ribosomal RNA", at positions 355 to 776 of the family's 1533-position model. The record is from RNAcentral.